AUACGAAAGGUGCAAGCGUUGUUCGGAUUUACUGGGCGUAAAGAGAGUGUAGGUGGUUUAUUAAGUCGGAUGUGAAAUCCCGGGGCUCAACCUCGGAACUGCAUUCGAUACUGAUAGGCUAGAGUUUGAGAGGGGUAAGCGGAAUUCCGUGUGUAGCAGUGAAAUGCGUAGAUAUACGGAGGAACACCUGAGGCGAAGGCGGCUUACUGGACCAAUACUGACGCUGAGACUCGAAAGCGUGGGUAGCAAACAGGAUUAGAUACCCUAGUAGUCC
This 274-nucleotide ribosomal RNA is filed under the name uncultured bacterium. Its description in RNAcentral is "partial 16S ribosomal RNA". It matches the Rfam family "Bacterial small subunit ribosomal RNA", at positions 523 to 796 of the family's 1533-position model. The record is from RNAcentral.